CAUACCUUGAAGUGGGGGACAACAGUUGGAAACGACUGCUAAUACCGCAUAAUCCCUGAGGGGGAAAGAUUUAUCGCUUUAAGAUUGGCCCGCGGAAGAUUAGGUAGUUGGUGGGGUAAAGGCCUACCAAGCCGACGAUCUAUAGCUGGUCUGAGAGGACGAACAGCCACAUUGGAACUGAGACACGGUCCAGACUCCUACGGGAGGCAGCAGUGAGGAAUAUUGGGCAAUGGAGGAAACUCUGACCCAGCCAUGCCGCGUGAGUGAAGAAGGUUUUCGAAUUGUAAAGCUCUUUCGGAUGGGACGAUGAUGACGGUACCAUCUAAAGAAGCCCCGGCAAACUUCGUGCCAGCAGCCGCGGUAAUACGAAGGGGGCAAGCGUUGUUCGGAAUUACUGGGCGUAAAGGGUGUGUAGGCGGAUUUGUAAGAUAGUGGUGAAAUACCUGAGCUCAACUUAGGAAUUGCCAUUAUAACUAUAGAUCUGAAGUGACAGAGAGGAUAUUGGAAUACCCAGUGUAGAGGUGAAAUUCGUAGAUAUUGGGUAGAACACCAGUGGCGAAGGCGAGUAUCUGGCUGUCAACUGACGCUGAGGCACGAAAGCAUGGGGAUCAAACAGGAUUAGAUACCCUGGUAGUCCAUGCUGUAAACGAUGAAUGCUAGUUGUCGGCAAAAGCCGGUGACGCAG
Molecule: ribosomal RNA, 685 nt
Filed under: uncultured bacterium
Lineage: Bacteria
Description: bacterial SSU rRNA
Rfam family: Bacterial small subunit ribosomal RNA
Source: RNAcentral